Molecule: small RNA, 146 nt
Filed under: Marmota monax (woodchuck)
Lineage: Eukaryota; Metazoa; Chordata; Mammalia; Rodentia; Sciuridae
Source: RNAcentral
UGAAAAUUGUGAAAUAAGGUUCUAGCCUGAAAGGAAAGUAACAUCCAUGUAUUUCAUACCAUUAUUUUUUCAUGGGCCUUUAAAUGUUCUUUAGACGUGUGUGUGUGUGUGUGUGUGUGUGUGUGUGUGUGUUUUAGCUUAUUCAG